UACGGAGGAUCCAAGCGUUAUCCGGAAUCAUUGGGUUUAAAGGGUCCGUAGGCGGUCUUGUAAGUCAGUGGUGAAAGCCCAUCGCCCAACGAUGGAACGGCCAUUGAUACUGCAGGACUUGAAUUAUUGGGAAGUAACUAGAAUAUGUAGUGUAGCGGUGAAAUGCUUAGAGAUUACAUGGAAUACCAAUUGCGAAGGCAGGUUACUACUAAUGGAUUGACGCUGAUGGACGAAAGCGUGGGGAGCGAACAGG
This 253-nucleotide ribosomal RNA is filed under the name uncultured bacterium. RNAcentral's name for it is "partial 16S ribosomal RNA". It matches the Rfam family "Bacterial small subunit ribosomal RNA", at positions 524 to 776 of the family's 1533-position model. The record is from RNAcentral.